RNAcentral lists this long non-coding RNA (493 nucleotides) under Homo sapiens (human). RNAcentral's name for it is "non-protein coding lnc-TMTC2-4:1". The record is from RNAcentral. Lineage: Eukaryota; Metazoa; Chordata; Mammalia; Primates; Hominidae.
UAAUGCAUCCUCAAGGGAUCAUCUUAAGCCUCAUCCUACUUGUGGCAGAUACUGUAGUUUUUUUAGGUACAAGUGAGUAGAGCAAUAGGUUAGCCUGUCAUGCUACCUUGCAUCUAUGAUGGAGAGGUGUCAUCUAUGUGCUGGGGCUGAAGGAUGUGCCCUAUAUUUGGAUCCUCAGAUGAAAUUGUCUGGAUUAGUAGAUCCCAUGUCACCUUUUAGAAGCAAAUGUGUUAACGGGAAUUACGUACCUUUUGAAAGGGAAUGCCUUCUUAACUAUAGAAAAUGCAACCGAAACUGACAGUGGCUUGUAUUGUUGCUAUGUUGUGCACAGGGGGUGGUUCAGUGACAUGAAAAUCACCCUGUCAUUGGAGAUUAAACCAGCCAGGAACACGAGUAUUCCCAUGUCAUCUGGAGUCUCUAACCUCUGCUUCUCCAAUGCCAUCACCCCUGCAGAGCCAUGAACCAGUAGUUAUUUCACCUUCUCCAACUCAGC